GUCUGUAUAGCUCAAUGGUAGAGCAUCUCACUUCUAAUGAGUCGAUCUAAGUUCGAUUCUUAGUACAGAUUCCACAC
RNAcentral lists this transfer RNA (77 nucleotides) under Schizosaccharomyces pombe (fission yeast). It matches the Rfam family "tRNA". Rfam says of the family: Transfer RNA (tRNA) molecules are approximately 80 nucleotides in length. Their secondary structure includes four short double-helical elements and three loops (D, anti-codon, and T loops). The record is from RNAcentral. Lineage: Eukaryota; Fungi; Ascomycota; Schizosaccharomycetes; Schizosaccharomycetales; Schizosaccharomycetaceae.